This 651-nucleotide ribosomal RNA is filed under the name uncultured bacterium. Its description in RNAcentral is "bacterial SSU rRNA". It matches the Rfam family "Bacterial small subunit ribosomal RNA", at positions 216 to 858 of the family's 1533-position model. The record is from RNAcentral.
CACUUAUAGAUGGACCCGCGCCGUAUUAGCUAGUUGGUAAGGUAACGGCUUACCAAGGCAACGAUACGUAGCCGACCUGAGAGGGUGAUCGGCCACACUGGAACUGAGACACGGUCCAGACUCCUACGGGAGGCAGCAGUAGGGAAUCUUCCGCAAUGGGCGAAAGCCUGACGGAGCAACGCCGCGUGAGUGAUGAAGGUCUUCGGAUCGUAAAACUCUGUUAUUAGGGAAGAACAAAUGUGUAAGUAACUGUGCACGUCUUGACGGUACCUAAUCAGAAAGCCACGGCUAMCUACGUGCCAGCAGCCGCGGUAAUACGUAGGUGGCAAGCGUUAUCCGGAAUUAUUGGGCGUAAAGCGCGCGUAGGCGGUUUCUUAAGUCUGAUGUGAAAGCCCACGGCUCAMCCGUGGAGGGUCAUUGGAAACUGGGAAACUUGAGUGCAGAAGAGGAAAGUGGAAUUCCAUGUGUAGCGGUGAAAUGCGCAGAGAUAUGGAGGAACACCAGUGGCGAAGGCGACUUUCUGGUCUGUAACUGACGCUGAUGUGCGAAAGCGUGGGGAUCAAACAGGAUUAGAUACCCUGGUAGUCCACGCCGUAAACGAUGAGUGCUAAGUGUUAGGGGGUUUCCGCCCCUUAGUGCUGCAGCUAACGC